AUUGAACGCUGGCGGCAGGCCUAACACAUGCAAGUCGAGCGGAUGAAGGGAGCUUGCUCCUGGAUUCAGCGGCGGACGGGUGAGUAAUGCCUAGGAAUCUGCCUGGUAGUGGGGGAUAACGUCCGGAAACGGGCGCUAAUAUCGCAUACGUCCUGAGGGAGAAAGUGGGGGAUCUUCGGACCUCACGCUAUCAGAUGAGCCUAGGUCGGAUUAGCUAGUUGGUGGGGUAAAGGCCUACCAAGGCGACGAUCCGUAACUGGUCUGAGUGGAUGAUCAGUCACACUGGAACUGAGACACGGUCCAGACUCCUACGGGAGGCAGCAGUGGGGAAUAUUGGACAAUGGGCGAAAGCCUGAUCCAGCCAUGCCGCGUGUGUGAAGAAGGUCUUCGGAUUGUAAAGCACUUUAAGUUGGGAGGAAGGGCAGUAAGUUAAUACCUUGCUGUUUUGACGUUACCAACAGAAUAAGCACCGGCUAACUUCGUG
Molecule: ribosomal RNA, 484 nt
Filed under: uncultured bacterium
Lineage: Bacteria
Description: partial 16S ribosomal RNA
Rfam family: Bacterial small subunit ribosomal RNA
Source: RNAcentral